This is a long non-coding RNA of Stylophora pistillata, 884 nucleotides long. The record is from RefSeq and is a predicted model, not a curated record. NCBI's taxonomy places the organism in Eukaryota, Metazoa, Cnidaria, Anthozoa, Scleractinia, Pocilloporidae.
AUUCCUUAGCUUGCUGCCCAUCUUUUCUGUAUCAGAUAUGCUGCAUUUCAAGGCUAUUGUAGAGAACUGAAAAAAAGAAAGAAACACAAAACUUUCAUUGUUAAACCAGCAAACGGAGCUAUGGGAAAUGGGAUAUCUCUGGUAGGAAAUGGAGACAGAAUCCCAUCUCAUGAGCAGAUUGUGGUCCAGGAGUACCUUGAUAAACCUUUUCACCUUGAGGGAUUCAAGUUUGAUCUUAGAGUAUAUGUUUUAGUAACAUCGAUCAUGUGAUCCACUGAGGAUAUUUUUAUAUCAUGAUGGACUUGUUCGCAUGGGAACUGAAGUGUACGAAAGCCCUUCAGAUGAAAACCUGGAUGAACUUUUUAUGCAUCUAACUAACUAUUCAAUAAAUAAACACAAUGAGAACUUUGACCGAGAUGACAGUGAUGACAGUGGAAGUAAGAGUUCUCUACAAUAGCCUUGAAAUGCAGCAUAUCUGAUACAGAAAAGAUGGGCAGCAAGCUAAGGAAUUAGUUCUUCACAUUAUCAUAAUUGCAUUGAUGUGGUGACGUAAGAAAAAAAAAUCGAUCAUUGUAAUUUUCUUUUGAUCUGUUUCCUGAAUUAUUAUUACAGUAACUACACUUUUAUUUGAUUCAAUUGUUUAAUAGUCAACCUGCACAAAUACACAUACUGUUGUGAUCUGUAAAAUUUAAAGAGUGCGUACCGGCCAGUACAGUAUUUAACUAUGUGAUCAUUACCUCCGACUGUUACAUAAUUUUUUAGACGUAUAAACUAAAAUCAGAGUAUUUCUCCGAUUAGAAGUUUCAUAUUCUUCAGGGCUCGACACUAACUUUUCAACUUACCAGCCAAGUGGCUAUAGUGACAACUUAGAUGUUACAACAAUU